AUACAGAGGGUGCAAGCGUUAAUCGGAUUUACUGGGCGUAAAGCGCGCGUAGGUGGCUAAUUAAGUCAAAUGUGAAAUCCCCGAGCUUAACUUGGGAAUUGCAUUCGAUACUGGUUAGCUAGAGUAUGGGAGAGGAUGGUAGAAUUCCAGGUGUAGCGGUGAAAUGCGUAGAGAUCUGGAGGAAUACCGAUGGCGAAGGCAGCCAUCUGGCCUAAUACUUACACUGAGGUGCGAAAGCAUGGGGAGCAAACAGGAUUGGAUACCCUGGUAGUCCAUGCCGUAAACGAUGUCUACUAGCCGUUGGGGCCCUUGAGGCUUUAGUGGCGCAGCUAACGCGAUAAGUAGACCGCCUGGGGAGUACGGUCGCAAGACUAAAACUCAAAUGAAUUGACGGGG
This 396-nucleotide ribosomal RNA is filed under the name uncultured bacterium. Its description in RNAcentral is "partial 16S ribosomal RNA". It matches the Rfam family "Bacterial small subunit ribosomal RNA", at positions 523 to 918 of the family's 1533-position model. The record is from RNAcentral.